RNAcentral lists this ribosomal RNA (369 nucleotides) under beta proteobacterium SCGC AAA024-L07. RNAcentral describes it as "bacterial SSU rRNA". It matches the Rfam family "Bacterial small subunit ribosomal RNA", at positions 374 to 735 of the family's 1533-position model. The record is from RNAcentral. Lineage: Bacteria; Pseudomonadati; Pseudomonadota; Betaproteobacteria.
GGCGCAAGCCUGAUCCAGCCAUGCCGCGUGCNGGAUGAAGGCCUUCGGGUUGUAAACUGCUUUUGUACGGAGGGAAGCGGCUUCCCCUAAUACGGGGAGCUAAUGACGGUACCGUAAGAAUAAGCACCGGCUAACUACGUGCCAGCAGCCGCGGUAAUACGUAGGGUGCGAGCGUUAAUCGGAAUUACUGGGCGUAAAGCGUGCGCAGGCGGUUAUAUAAGACAGAUGUGAAAUCCCCGGGCUCAACCUGGGACCUGCAUUUGUGACUGUNUAGCUAGAGUACGGUAGAGGGGGAUGGAAUUCCGCGUGUAGCAGUGAAAUGCGUAGAUAUGCGGAGGAACACCGAUGGCGAAGGCAAUCCCCUGGACC